GAAUAUUGGUCAAUGGACGCAAGUCUGAACCAGCCAUGCCGCGUGGAGGAUGACAGCCUUCUGGGUUGUAAACUUCUUUUAUAUGGGAAGAACAAUACGGUUUCUACUGUAUCCGACGGUACCAUAUGCAUAAGCACCGGCUAACUCCGUGCCAGCAGCCGCGGUAAUACGGAGGGUGCAAGCGUUAUCCGGAUUUACUGGGUUUAAAGGGUGUGUAGGCGGAUAUUUAAGUCAGAGGUGAAAUCUCCGGGCUCAACCCGGAAACUGCCUUUGAUACUAUUUAUCUUGAAUUUCGUUGAGGUUGGCGGUAUAUAUCAUGUAGCGGUGAAAUGCAUAGAUAUGAUAUAGAACACCGAUUGCGUAGGCAGCUGGCUGAACGACGAUUGACGCUGAGGCACGAAAGCGUGGGUAGCGAACAGG
RNAcentral lists this ribosomal RNA (420 nucleotides) under uncultured bacterium. RNAcentral describes it as "bacterial SSU rRNA". It matches the Rfam family "Bacterial small subunit ribosomal RNA", at positions 359 to 776 of the family's 1533-position model. The record is from RNAcentral.